This is a non-coding RNA of Caenorhabditis elegans, 124 nucleotides long. The record is from Ensembl. Lineage: Eukaryota; Metazoa; Nematoda; Chromadorea; Rhabditida; Rhabditidae.
UUUUUCCUGGACUUUUCUCCAACCCUCCUCAUCAUCAUCAUUGUUUUCUAUCUUUCUUCACACGUCCCGCUCCCACUGACAAAUGUUCUUUGGAGAAGGAUCUCUUCGAGAAAAGUGCGCCUAG